RNAcentral lists this ribosomal RNA (2034 nucleotides) under human gut metagenome. RNAcentral's name for it is "bacterial LSU rRNA". It matches the Rfam family "Bacterial large subunit ribosomal RNA", at positions 1 to 1977 of the family's 2925-position model. The record is from RNAcentral.
GCAAGAUACCACGGGCGCACGGCGGAUGCCUUGGCACAGGGAGCCGAUGAAGGACGCGGCAAGCUGCGAUAAUCCCCGGCGAGGAGCACACAUCCUUCGACCCGGGGGUCUCCGAAUGGGCGAACCCAUGCACAGCAGUGUGCAUAUCCCCCCGCUGAACACAUAGGCGGGGGGAGGACAACCCGGGGAACUGAAACAUCUAAGUACCCGGAGGAGAGGAAAUCAAUCUCGAGACUCCCCGAGUAGCGGCGAGCGAAAGGGGACCGAUGGCCAAACCGUCGAGCGGGCAUACCCGGCAGGGGUUCCGCCGACGGGGUUGCAGGGCCGCGCAUCCGGGGGCUGCCGCCCCCGGGCGCAGGUCCGGCUGGGGAGCGGAACGGCAUGGGAGGGCCGGCCGCAGCGGGUGACAGCCCCGUACGCGAACCCAGACCGGACGGCGCGACGCGGUCCCUGAGUAGGGCCGGGCACGUGAAACCCGGUCCGAACCUGGGUGGACCACCAUCCAAGCCUGAGUACUACCCUGUGACCGAUAGCGCACCAGUACCGUGAGGGAAAGGUGAAAAGCACCCCGGGAGGGGAGUGAAACAGUACCUGAAACCGUGCGCCCACGAGCAGUCGGAGCACCUUUAUGGUGUGACGGCGUGCCUUUUGUAGAAUGAGCCAGCGAGUCGCUGGCGCGGGGCGAGGUUAACCGAAAGGGAGCCGGAGCGAAAGCGAGCCUUAACAGGGCGACUUGAGUCCCGCGCCGCGGACGCGAAGCCGGGUGAGCUAUCCGUGGGCAGGCUGAAGCGGGGGUAAGACCCCGUGGAGGGCCGAACGCACGUCGGUUGAAAACGGCGGCGAUGACCUGCGGAUAGGGGUGAAAGGCCAAUCAAACCCGGAGAUAUCUCGUUCUCCCCGAAAUAGCUUUAGGGCUAGCGUCGCGCGUUCACCGCCGGAGGUAGAGCACCGGAUGGACGAGGGGGCUUCGCCGCCUACCGAAUCCAACCGAACUCCGAAUGCCGGCGGCCCAGAGCGCGGCAGUCAGAGCAUGUGGGCUAAGCUGUGUGCUCGAGAGGGAAACAGCCCGGACCGCCCGCUAAGGUCCCCAAGUUCCAGCCGAGUGGCAAAGGAUGUGCGUCCGCCCAGACAACCAGGAUGUUGGCUUAGAAGCAGCCAUCCAUUCAAAGAGUGCGUAACAGCUCACUGGUCGAGUGGACAUGCGCCGACAAUACACGGGGCUAAGCUGGACACCGAAGCGGCGGGAUUUUAAUUCAUUAGAAUCGGUAGGGGAGCUUCCCAUGGGCGGAGAAGCCGGAGGGCGACCGACGGUGGAGCGCAUGGGAGUGAGAAUGCUGGCAUGAGUAGCGAGAGACGAGAGAGUAACUCGUCCGCCGUGAACCCGAGGUUUCCUGGGCAAGGCUAAUCCUCCCAGGGUCAGUCGGGGGCUAAGGCGAGGCCGGUAGGCGUAGCCGACGCGCAGCAGGCAGACAUUCCUGCACCGCGCACGCGGCGCUACGACCGACGGGGCGACGGAUGGGGGUGGCUCGGCGGGGUUCUGGACGUCCCCGUGAUGGAGCGCGGCCCGCGGACCAGGGAAAUCCGGUCCGCAGAAGGGCGAGGCUCCGGACGAAGCGACUGAGCGAAGCGAGUGAGCCCGAGGUCCCUAGAAAAACCCCUAGGCAGGCGCGUGCGCGCCCGUACCGCAAACCGACACAGGUGGGUGGGUAGAACAUACCGAGGCGAUCGGGUCAACCAUGGUCAAGGAACUCGGCACAAUGGCCCCGUAACUUCGGGAGAAGGGGUGCCCGCGCGUACGUGAACGGACUUGCUCCGGGAGCGGAGGCGGGCCGCAGUGGAGAGGCCCAAGCGACUGUUUACCAAAAACACAGGACUCUGCAGAAGCCGCAAGGCGACGUAUAGGGUCUGACGCCUGCCCGGUGCCGGAAGGUCACGCGGAGGAGUUAGCCGAUUCGGCGAAGCCCCGAAGCCAAGCCCCGGUAAACGGCGGCCGUAACUAUAACGGUCCUAAGGUAGCGAAAUUCCUUGUCGGGU